CGCCCAGGCUGGAGUGCAGUGUCGCGAUCUCGGCUCACUGCAGGCUCCGCCCCCCGGGGUUCAUGCCAUUCUCCUGCCUCAGCCUCCCGCGUAGCUGGGACUACAGGCGCCCGCCACCACGCCCAGCUAAUUUUUUUUUUUUUGUAUUUUUAGUAGAGACGGGGUUUCACCGUGUUAGCCAGGAUGGUCUCGAUCUCCUGACCUCGUGAUCCGCCCGCCUUGGCCUCCCAAAGUGGUGGGAUUACAGGCGUGAGCCACUGCGCCCGGCCAACUUGCUUUCACUUUAUGGACUCCCCCUGAUUUCUUUCUUGCAUGAGAUCCAGGAACCCUCUCUCGGGGUCUGGAUCGGGACCCCUUUCCGGUAACAUCUUUCUGGCGACCACAGAAGAAAAACUGCAGACUCAAAACCUAGCGUUGGGUAGGUGACAUAUCUCUGGUGACCUCAGGAGGGGCUCCAGUGCGGAAACCCCCGACCUAAAGGCUAACUUUGGGUAAGUAGUGGGGUCCGGUAACAUCUUUCUGGCAAACCCUGAAGGGACAAUACUGAGGAGGAGCCCCCGACCCAAAGGAAAUAGACUCGGCCCUGACUGGACGACGCUGGAGAACACGUGUUGAAACUUGUGGUUGGAGGUUGGAUUAACGAUGACCGGAGCAAGUUUGAGCCUUGCCAGUGUGAUGUUAGGUGCUAAGCAGAGUGGCUGAUGUCUCUGUUUUCUCACACGUAUUUUGCCCUGGCCAGAACGGAAAGAGGUAACUUCCUUUGUGCUGCAGCUUGGCCCCCAGGGCUGUGGUACAGCCAGUCGUAAGGGAGGAGACCACCCCUCACAUUGUCUUAUGCCCAAUUUCUGCCUCCAGAGAAAGAAGUUAAAAGGCAGAAAUGAAAUCCACAAGCAGACAGCCCAACGCCACACCCUGGGCCUGGUAGUUAAAGAUCGACCGCUGGCUGAUCUAAUCGGUUAUAUUACCUAUAGAUUCCAGACAUUGUAUAGAAAAGCACUGUGAAAACCCCGUCCCGUCCUGUUCUGAUUACCGGUGCAUGCAGCCCCCAGUCACAUACCCCCUGCUUGCUCAAUCGAUCACGACCCUCUCACGUGGACCCUCUUAGAGUUGUGAGCCCUGAAGAGGGACAGGAAUUGCUCACUCGGGGAGCUCGGCUGUUGAAGAUUUGACUCUUGCCAAAGCUCCCGGCCGAAUAAAGCCCUUCUUUAACUCGGUGUCUGAGGGGUUUUGUCUGCAGCUAGUCCUGCUACAGUUGGGUCACUAGGGCCCCCCAGGAAAAGAAACCCAGAAAUCUGUCAUGCUGGCACAAGUGCAAGAACUGCUCACCAGUCAGACUUCUGUCUCUGUGUGUGUGUGUGUGUGUGUGUGUUGUGUGUGUGGGUGUGUGUAUGGUGUGUGUGUGUGGGGUGUGUGUGGGUGUGUAUGUGGUGU
RNAcentral lists this long non-coding RNA (1431 nucleotides) under Homo sapiens (human). RNAcentral describes it as "HSALNT0170746". The record is from RNAcentral. Lineage: Eukaryota; Metazoa; Chordata; Mammalia; Primates; Hominidae.